CGUCAGGACGAACGCUGGCGGCGUGCUCAUACAUGCAAGUCGAACGAUAAGGCACCUCGGGUGUACAUAAGUGGCGGACGGGUGAGUAAUAUGUAGAGAAUCUGCCCUAGAGAGCGGGACAACAGUUGGAAACGACUGCUAAUACCGCAUAUGAGCGUAGCUGAAAUGCUAUUCUUGAAAACUCCGGUGCUCUGGGAUGAGUCUGCAUCUGAUUAGCUAGUUGGGGGUGUAAUGGACCACCAAGGCGACGAUCAGUAGCUGGUUUGAGAGGAUGAUCAGCCACAAUGGGACUGAGACACGGCCCAUACUCCUACGGGAGGCAGCAGUAGGGAAUUUUGCGCAAUGGGGGAAACCCUGACGCAGCAACGCCGCGUGACCGAUGAAGCCCUUCGGGGUGUAAAGGUCUGUCAGUGGGGACGAAUAUUGACGGUACCCACAGAGGAAGCAUCGGCUAACUCCGUGCCAGCCGCGGC
Molecule: ribosomal RNA, 473 nt
Filed under: uncultured bacterium
Lineage: Bacteria
Description: bacterial SSU rRNA
Rfam family: Bacterial small subunit ribosomal RNA
Source: RNAcentral